Molecule: transfer RNA, 16 nt
Filed under: Atraphaxis pungens
Lineage: Eukaryota; Viridiplantae; Streptophyta; Magnoliopsida; Caryophyllales; Polygonaceae
Description: partial tRNA-Phe
Source: RNAcentral
CGGGAUAGUCCAGUUG